AACGCAUCUUGCGCUCUUUGGUAUUCCAAAGAGCAUGCCUGUUUGAGUGUCAUUAAAUUCUCAACUGUACCAAUCCUGUUGGUGUAGCUUGGAUUUGGGGGACCAUUUGCAGGCCUUUCAAUUGAAUGAAGCCAGCUCCUCUGAAAUUGAUUAGUGGUACCUUUGUGGAACCAAAGGCAUGAUAAAUAUCUAUGCCUUAGAUGUCCACAGCAAUAGGUUAUGCUGCUUCUAAUUAACUGAUUAAUGACAAAAUUGACCUCAAAUCAGGUAGGACUACCCGCUGAACUUAA
This 290-nucleotide unclassified non-coding RNA is filed under the name uncultured Agaricales. RNAcentral's name for it is "sequence contains 5.8S rRNA gene, ITS2, 28S rRNA gene". The stretch from base 1 to 52 matches the Rfam family "5.8S ribosomal RNA", at positions 103 to 154 of the family's 154-position model. Lineage: Eukaryota; Fungi; Basidiomycota; Agaricomycetes; Agaricales. The record is from RNAcentral.